Pelecanus crispus (Dalmatian pelican) is the source of this 75-nucleotide non-coding RNA. The record is from Rfam. Lineage: Eukaryota; Metazoa; Chordata; Aves; Pelecaniformes; Pelecanidae.
GCUGGGUUAGCUCAGUUGGUUAGAGCAUGGUGCUAAAAAUGUCCAAGUUCACAGGUUCAAUCCCUGCUUACUGCA